Long non-coding RNA from Physeter macrocephalus (sperm whale), 5487 nucleotides. RefSeq lists it as uncharacterized. The record is from RefSeq and is a predicted model, not a curated record. NCBI's taxonomy places the organism in Eukaryota, Metazoa, Chordata, Mammalia, Artiodactyla, Physeteridae. The transcript is spliced from 4 exons.
AAAAAAAAAAGAAUAGGUAAAAGAAAAACACAGAGUAUGCUGUUUUACAGAUGAAAAGGCCAGUUAUUUGAGACGUUAAGUGACUUGCUCAAGGCUGAAAACUGACAAUCUAAAAAUAAAGUCCAAUGGGUUUCUAUAAAACUGGUUUUAUAGAAAGCGCAUUCUCAUCUCCAGAAAUUUAAGAAAUUAAUUUCAACUUUUUUCAAAGCAAACUACACCUCUGUAACCAAGAGAGAGUCUUAAGUUAAAGCGUAGGUAUUAACUGAAAUCUAGAUUUUCUAAUUAAUUUGGUUUGAGUCCAUCUAGAUGCUUGAAAGUGAUAGUAUGUUGAGAUGUAUAAAAUGGACAUUUAUUUCAUACCAUUUUAAAGCUUUUCUUCCACUACAAGUACACUCAUAGCACAUGUAACACCCACAUUGCACAAAGCAAGCUGUGAUAUAUAUGCAGAUUGUAAAACAAAGAAAUUAUAAAAACUGGCAUUAGAAAAGUCUAUCAAAACCUAUUAACAAAAAAACAAUUUUUAAUCCCCAAGCUUUAAAGACCGGAGCCAAUAAGCAAUAGAUCAUAUUCUUAGAAGCACAAUCUCUUGCCCCAUGUGGUACAAAAAGCUUAUCACUAUCACUGCACCAGAACCAUACAGACCCAAUCACUAGAGCCAGAACUAGAAGGUCCCACCCUGAACCAACUUUAAUCACCCUUUUCUAGGAAAAAAUAGCUUACCAGUUAAUAUUCAUCUGACCCAGCCAUUCCUCAAGGCUUCUAGUUUUAAAUUAAAGACUAAAGUGACAACAUAUUUAAAUAAAUGAUCUACAUAAAAGAUUUAAAUAAACAAUGUGAUCGAGUGAUUGCAAGUCUGAAAAAACAGAUAUUAAUAGCACAUGCCAUGAUUUUGUAUAAUUAAAAUAAAAGUAUAUUUUUUACUGAGAAAACAGAUACACUAUUUCUAUUUCAAUCCCCAGACACAAAAUUAAGACUAUAACAUAAAAGAAAUCAAGUCAGAGGAAAAAAAGUGUGACCUAGGUAAUUUCCAUUUUAACUCCAUCAUUUAACCCCACAUUUGUGAAGAACACAAUUAAUUCUAUGAUCUCCACAAAAGUUAUUCCUGAAGUUUUACAUAUGACAAAAUUGAGUUAUUCUUUCAAAAUAAUCUCACACAUAGUAAAGCUAUUUCAAAGAACCCUUAAUGAAUUUUCUUCUAACUGAAAUAACUCUAAUUUACGUGCUCUAAAAGCAUGGGAGAGAAACUUUUCAUACCAGUUAUAUACCAGUCUAUAAACAAGUAGUUCUCUUACAAGACUAUGUAUAAAAAGUAAACAACCCUUAUUUGGCUUCUUUCAAGAUGUCACCACCAGUGCUAACAAUCUAUUACAAGAGACAAACCAAACAUCACCUUGAUUUUUAUUCAUAUUAGCAUCUUGUAUAUCUUUGGUGUUCUCAGUGAUAACUAGGAAAACUAUUCAGUUUCUCACAAUAAUGAAAAUUAAGGUAAGCAAAACCAGAGCCCCACAUGUUUUGAACAUGAAAUGGAAGGAAGAUCUGAAAUGUUUUUUAAUUGAGCCAUGGGAUGGAAGACAGGAGGCAGGCAAAGGUAGUCACUAGACUACAGCCCCAAACUUCUUUCAUAUUCAAAUCAUCUUAUUCCUACUUUCUUGAAAUGUGGCAUUAAUUUCUAUUUAAUUUUUUUUUAAUACAGUGGUCUUAAGCUACUUUGGGAUGUCUUAAAACAACAGUUCUGUACAAAAUAUGUACAGCUAAAGGGCUGUGGGGAUCAGGUACCAAAAUACACUUUCACCUAUAUAUAAAACAUACCCAAAGCUGCUACUCCACUUUACCUGAAAUAAAAACAAGACACUUGUUUGUUAUUAUUGACAAGCCCAUUUCAAUUUAGAAAACAAGCCACAGUUUCAAUUCCUUGGAGAUCACAUAAAAUGAAGUUCCUCUGCCUGCUUUUGAGGCUCUGUUCUAGAGACCUACACUACCUAAUUACUUCGCCACCCUCUAUUUUCUCCAAAAUGAGACAGAAUCCAGCCCCUGCCUAUACCCACUAACAUUCUUCCUCUGUUCUUAAAGUCCUACUCAUUUCUUCCAGGAUCUGCUCAAGGGCCAUCUCUAUGAAGCCUUCUCUGACUGAUAUCCCUAUCCUAUGAUACUUGAUAUGCAAUUAUAUCAUAAUCAACAAAGACUAAAGAUAUUUUAUUUGUUAACAGUACUGGGGCAUGCUUAAUGUAUAUGAGGUUCACUUUUCAUAUCAUUUGGAAAUUAUAUGAAAGAGAAUAUGAUGAAAACUUUGGAUGUGGGAUCUUCCCAUCCUUGCUACUAUUUUGGUUUAUCCUGAAAUCACUGGGUAAAGCUUGGGUAGUAGGGAAACUAAAAAGUAGAAAAACUGUAGAGACGGUUGGUCAAGGUCUUUACUAGCUUCAAGAGUUAACUUUACAGGCCUAAAAUGAAAAGGCAGUGGAGGAAAUCAAAGAAAACAAGCAAAAUCUUCAUUCCUAUUUAGCUUUCUGAAAAAAAAAGAUUGCUCAACUUGAAGGUCAGGACCACCUGAAGUCCCUGCGGUCUAUUUGUGUAGUGCUUAUCUGCGAGAGCAGACAGAAGGCACACACACAGAAGAGUUCCAAAAGGCCUCAGAGGAUCAUUUUUAGGAGCUUUCAGUUGUUGUCUGAUUCACGUUUAGCUGGGAGCCUUCUCCAUUACAGAUAACUACAUUAUCAGAGGCAAAUAAAUGCCACCUCUUAGGGCAGAGUUAGCUGAGUUGUUUGCUAUCCAACAAUCUUCAGCACAGGCUAGGUUCACAGCCACCACUACAAUGUUCUUGUCAGAACAUUCCAUCAAAGAAAAGUUAAAGGAUGCUAUGCUAUAUAUAGACUUUUGGAAAAUAUUUCAUGUCAAUGACAAAAUUUUUUUAAUUCUGGAUUUUCUUGUGAAGCAUAUUGAGUUUAUUAUAAUCCAAAAUUGAGGGCGGGGGCGGGGGAGAACAGCAGGGCAAACAAGUAUGCUUUAGAUAGCCUAACCUUAAUUUUCAAAGCAGAAAAUCAGGGACCUCCCUGGCAGUCCAGUGGUAAAGACUCUGAGCUUCCACUGUAGGGGAAGUGGGUUCGAUCACUGGUCAGGGAAAUAAGAUACCACCAAAAAAAAAAAAAAAAAAAAAAAAAAGGUAGAAAACCACUUCUGGAAAUCACCUUAAAUGUCUUUGUCAAUAAGGUCAAACUCCCUAGCUCAGAGACCACAGAAUCAGCAUCUAGUAUUCCAAAGUCCUAUCGAAGCCUAGAAUAAAGGUGUCCAAAUACUUUUUUAACAGGGCAACUAUUUCCUACUUCAGUCUGCUCCGAAAAAAGCAGCAGCAGUCAGUUUCCUUGGUAUACCCAAAGUCGCCACAAGCAGUAGGCAGAGGGAAGACGUUAACCCGAGUCAAGUCACAACUUACCCACCCUCCCCACUACGAGCUUAGAAAGCUGCUCACCCGAAAAACAGUGACACAAUGGGCCUCUAAGCCCAUUUAUACCAUACGGCACAGCCUUUUUGUACCAUAUCCCUAAUUUCCUGAAGGCAAAAGCCGAUUCCAAUCCAAAUAGCUUUUAUUUAGCCUCUAGACCAUAGCUUUCACAAAGUGUAAGUCUUAUUCCUACGGUCUCCCAUCUGUUAGUGAGGAGGGCCUAGCAAUCCGAAUAUUCUUAAUAUGAACACCUGCGGCUUUCAGUCGGCUUCUGCCUUGGGAAAACUGAGAACCCACACACAAGGCCAACGGGCAGCGCUGAAAUAUCAGGUUGUACUAGAGUUCAAAUAUACACCUUAUAGAAACCCCCGCCUAAAUGCCCAGGACACAGUCGUAAUGCAGUCGAGGACAGCAAUGAGACCAGGGCCCGGGCGGGCCCCGAGGAAUCCAAGGGCUACGAGCUCAAGGUCACCGACGCACCGCGACAGCCAUUCCCUGGGAACUCUUCCUAGAGCGGCCACGUGCUCCCCGCAGAGCGGCUCUGCGCUGCGGCAGCGUGGCUCACCCCUCGCUCCCGAGCCCUCAGGCUAGGGCUGUCCCACGAGGGCCUGCAUCUUUUAAGGGCAAGCUACUGAGGACAAGGGAUCCGGGUGGCCUGAGGAGCCGGAAGAAGCAUGGCGGGGCGCAGAGCGACAGUGGGGCACCCCUCAUCUCGCCCUCAGGGCCCUAACAGAAUCCAUUCGCUGGUCUGGGGCCGAGAGGAGGAGGGCACCAAGAGGAAGAGAAAGGUGCCUGCUGGAUGCCCCCACCUGGAUGACCCACUCAAGUUCAACCUGUCCCGAAGAGAACCCAACACCUUCCUCCCCAAACUUGGUGCCCCUGCCUCCUGUCUUCCCUGCUCUGUGACACUGUGCUUUACAGAUUCUGGGGACAGUCCUGGGGACUCUCCCACAGUCACCUGUUGGUGCUCAAAAAUGUUUAUUGAAUGGAGCUCCUAAAACAAACUGCAUUUACAAAAGUACAUCGGUGGGUACCAGAGUGCACAGAACGUAGUCGAAAGGGAGACACCCCAGACUAACAGGUCCCUUGAGCAUCAGAGGCUUGGAAAAAAGAUCCUCAGUGGCCAUCUCAUCCCUCCCCAUAGUGUACAGAUGCACAAACUGAAGUCCAGUGAGCCCCUAUGAAGAGGAGUAGUUUCUGGGCUUCCCUGGUGGCACAGUGGUUAGGAAUCCGCCUGCCAAUGCAGGGGACACAGGUUCAAGCCUCGGUUCAGGAAGAUCCCACAUGCUGCAGAGCAGCUAGGCCCAUGCACCACAACUACUGAGCCUGCUCUCUAAAGCCCGUGAGCCACAACUAAUGAGCCCAUGUGCCACAACAACUGAAGCCCGCGCCUAGAGCCCAUACUCUGCAACAAGAGAAGCCACCACAAUGAGAAGACCGUGCACCACAACGAAGAAUAGCCCCCGCUCUCCCCAACUAGAGAAAGCCCGCACGCAGCAAUGAAGACACAAGGCAGCCAAAAGAAAGAAAGAAAGAAAAAAAACUAAAAAUAGAAUAUCAUAUGACCCAGGAAUUCCACUCCAGGGUAUAUAUCUGAAAAAAACAAAGACACUAAUUUGAAAAGAUGCAUGUACCCCAAUGUUCAUAGCAGCAUUAUUUACAAUUGCCAAGACAUGGAAGCAACCUAAGUGCCCAUCAACAGAUAAAUGGGUAAAGAAGAUGUGAUAUGCGCGUACACACAUGCGCGCACACAAUGGAAUGCUAGUCAGCCAUAAAAAAGAAUGAAAUUUUGCCAUUCGCAGCAACAUUGAUGGACUUGGAGGGCAUUAUGCUAAGUAAAAUAAGUCAGGCAGAGAAAGACAAAUACUGUAUGAUAUCAUUCAUACGUGGAAUCUAAAAACUACAGCAAACUAGUGAAUAAAACAGAAAAGAAGCAGACUCAGAUACAGACAGCAAACUAGUGGUUGGUUACCAGUGAAGGGGGGGGCAGUAUAGGGGUAGGGGAGUAAGAAGUACAAACUAUUAGGUAUAAAAUAAGCUACAAGGAUAUA